Molecule: ribosomal RNA, 613 nt
Filed under: Streptomyces sp. SID11385
Lineage: Bacteria; Bacillati; Actinomycetota; Actinomycetes; Kitasatosporales; Streptomycetaceae
Description: partial 23S ribosomal RNA
Rfam family: Bacterial large subunit ribosomal RNA
Source: RNAcentral
CCUCAGCCUGGUUGGUAAUCAGGUGGUGAGUGUAAGUGCACAAGGGAGCUUGACUGUGAGACCGACGGGUCGAGCAGGGACGAAAGUCGGGACUAGUGAUCCGGCGGUGGCUUGUGGAAGCGCCGUCGCUCAACGGAUAAAAGGUACCCCGGGGAUAACAGGCUGAUCUUCCCCAAGAGUCCAUAUCGACGGGAUGGUUUGGCACCUCGAUGUCGGCUCGUCGCAUCCUGGGGCUGGAGUCGGUCCCAAGGGUUGGGCUGUUCGCCCAUUAAAGCGGUACGCGAGCUGGGUUUAGAACGUCGUGAGACAGUUCGGUCCCUAUCCGCUGUGCGCGUAGGAAUAUUGAGAAGGGCUGUCCCUAGUACGAGAGGACCGGGACGGACGAACCUCUGGUGUGCCAGUUGUUCUGCCAAGGGCAUGGCUGGUUGGCUACGUUCGGGAGGGAUAACCGCUGAAAGCAUCUAAGCGGGAAGCCUGCUUCGAGAUGAGUGUUCCCACCUCCUUUGAGAGGGUAAGGCUCCCAGUAGACGACUGGGUUGAUAGGCCGGAUAUGGAAGCCCUGUGAGGGGUGGAGUUGACCGGUACUAAUAGGCCGAGGGCUUGUCCUCAGUUG